This 214-nucleotide ribosomal RNA is filed under the name uncultured bacterium. RNAcentral describes it as "partial 16S ribosomal RNA". It matches the Rfam family "Bacterial small subunit ribosomal RNA", at positions 116 to 334 of the family's 1533-position model. The record is from RNAcentral.
UAUCGGAACGUGCCCUGGAGUGGGGGAUAACUAGUCGAAAGACUAGCUAAUACCGCAUACGAUCUACGGAUGAAAUGGGGGAUCGCAAGACCUCAUGCUCGUGGAGCGGCCGAUAUCUGAUUAGCUAGUUGGUGGGGUAAAGGCCUACCAAGGCAUCGAUCAGUAGCUGGUCUGAGAGGACGACCAGCCACACUGGGACUGAGACACGGCCCAG